RNAcentral lists this non-coding RNA (24 nucleotides) under Arabidopsis thaliana (thale cress). Lineage: Eukaryota; Viridiplantae; Streptophyta; Magnoliopsida; Brassicales; Brassicaceae. The record is from RNAcentral.
ACUAGCAGGUAAUGGUUGAGUGGU